RNAcentral lists this ribosomal RNA (498 nucleotides) under uncultured bacterium. RNAcentral describes it as "partial 16S ribosomal RNA". It matches the Rfam family "Bacterial small subunit ribosomal RNA", at positions 28 to 507 of the family's 1533-position model. The record is from RNAcentral.
GAUGAACGCUGGCGGCGUGCCUAAUACAUGCAAGUCGAGCGAACAGACGAGGAGCUUGCUCCUCUGACGUUAGCGGCGGACGGGUGAGUAACACGUGGAUAACCUACCUAUAAGACUGGGAUAACUUCGGGAAACCGGAGCUAAUACCGGAUAAUAUAUUGAACCGCAUGGUUCAAUAGUGAAAGACGGUUUUGCUGUCACUUAUAGAUGGAUCCGCGCCGCAUUAGCUAGUUGGUAAGGUAACGGCUUACCAAGGCAACGAUGCGUAGCCGACCUGAGAGGGGGGUGGGCCAGCCUGGGAGCUGGACCCGGCCCAGACCGCCUGGGGGAGGCGCCAGAGGGGAAUCUCCGGCAGUGGGGGAAAGCCUGACGGAACAGCCCGGCGGGAGUGAUAAGGGUCUCGGGAUCGUAAAACUGUUUUAUGGGGGAAAAACAAAUGUGUAAGUAACUGUGCCCUUCGUGACGGUACCUAAUAAAAAAGCCCCGGCUAACUACGUG